This 301-nucleotide ribosomal RNA is filed under the name uncultured bacterium. Its description in RNAcentral is "partial 16S ribosomal RNA". It matches the Rfam family "Bacterial small subunit ribosomal RNA", at positions 509 to 807 of the family's 1533-position model. The record is from RNAcentral.
CAGUCGCCGCGGUAAUACGUAGGGUGCGAGCGUUAAUCGGAAUUACUGGGCGUAAAGCGUGCGCAGGCGGUUCGUUAAGACAGAUGUGAAAUCCCCGGGCUCAACCUGGGACCUGCAUUUGUGACUGGCAAGCUAGAGUGUGGCAGAGGGGGGUGGAAUUCCGCGUGUAGCAGUGAAAUGCGUAGAUAUGCGGAGGAACACCGAUGGCGAAGGCAGCCCCCUGGGCCAACACUGACGCUCAUGCACGAAAGCGUGGGGAGCAAACAGGAUUAGAUACCCCAGUAGUCCCUGUCUCUUAUAC